Molecule: ribosomal RNA, 444 nt
Filed under: uncultured bacterium
Lineage: Bacteria
Description: bacterial SSU rRNA
Rfam family: Bacterial small subunit ribosomal RNA
Source: RNAcentral
CCUACGGGGGGCUGCAGUAGGGAAUAUUGGGCAAUGGAGGCAACUCUGACCCAGCGACGCCGCGUGGAGGAUGAAGGUCUUCGGAUUGUAAACUUCUGUUCUUAGGGAGAAAGAAAAUGAUAGUACCUAAGGAGCAAGCCACGGCAAACUAUGUGCCAGCAGCCGCGGUAAUACAUAGGUGGCAAGCGUUGUCCGGAAUGACUGGGCGUAAAGGGAGUGUAGGCGGUAGUGCAAGUUAUAUGUGAAAGCCCUUGGCUUAACCAAGGAAUUGCAUAUAAUACUGUGCAACUUAGAGUAUGGGAGAGGAAGAUGGAAUUUCUAGUGUAGCGGUUAAAUGCUUAGAUAUUAGAAGGAACACCAGAGGCGAAGGCGGUCUUCUGGCCCAAUACUGACGCUGAGGCUCGAAAGCGUGGGGAGCAAACAGGCUUAGAUACCCUGGUAGUC